UCUAAGAUGGAGCAGCUACAAGAUGAGACC
Molecule: non-coding RNA, 30 nt
Filed under: Homo sapiens (human)
Lineage: Eukaryota; Metazoa; Chordata; Mammalia; Primates; Hominidae
Source: RNAcentral